GAUGAACGCUGGCGGCGUGCCUAAUACAUGCAAGUCGAGCGAACAGACGAGGAGCUUGCUCCUCUGACGUUAGCGGCGGACGGGUGAGUAACACGUGGAUAACCUACCUAUAAGACUGGGAUAACUUCGGGAAACCGGAGCUAAUACCGGAUAAUAUAUUGAACCGCAUGGUUCAAUAGUGAAAGACGGUUUUGCUGUCACUUAUAGAUGGAUCCGCGCCGCAUUAGCUAGUUGGUAAGGUAACGGCUUACCAAGGCAACGAUGCGUAGCCGACCUGAGAGGGUGAUCGGCCACACUGGAACUGAGACACGGUCCAGACUCCUACGGGAGGCAGCAGUAGGGAAUCUUCCGCAAUGGGCGAAAGCUUGACGGAGCAACGCCGCGUGAGUGAUGGAGGUCUUCGGAUCGUAAAACUCUGUUAUUAGGGAAGAACAAAUGUGUAAGUAACUAUGCACGUCUUGACGGUACCUAAUCAGAAAGCCACGGCUAACUACGU
Molecule: ribosomal RNA, 496 nt
Filed under: uncultured bacterium
Lineage: Bacteria
Description: partial 16S ribosomal RNA
Rfam family: Bacterial small subunit ribosomal RNA
Source: RNAcentral